RNA transcript from Gymnodraco acuticeps, 996 nucleotides. It is a transcript of the gene named C-factor-like, with no coding region annotated. The record is from RefSeq and is a predicted model, not a curated record. The transcript has 7 exons. Lineage: Eukaryota; Metazoa; Chordata; Actinopteri; Perciformes; Bathydraconidae.
ACGCGCUCAGAGGGAGAAUUGUGCAAGCUGAGUCGCAGGCAAUGGCAGCUCUAUCAGUCAGCGUGCUCAUCACAGGGGCCAACCGAGGCCUGGGCCUGGAGAUGGUGAAGCAAAUAGUGGAGGCCCCCCGACCACUGAAGAAGCUGUUUGCCUGUUGCAGGGAUCCAGAUGGGCCAAGAGCUGAGGCUCUGCAAACACUGGCAAAGAAGCAUCCUGACAUCAUCUCUGUCGUCCGCCUUGACGCAGAUGACCUUUGCAGCAUAAAACAGUGCGCCCAGCAUGUGGGCUCUCUGGUGGGGACGGGGGGUCUCAACCUGCUGAUUAACAACGCUGGCAUCAUCUUCAGAAAAACCCUGCAGGAAACAAGUCCUGAGGAGAUGCAGAAAACCUUCAACACCAACGUCAUAGGCCCGAUGAGCAUCCUUCAAGUUCAGUACCAACCACAUCAUAAAGUACGCGGACGAUACAACAGUGGUGGGACUCAUCAGGGACAACAACGAACAGGCCUACAUGGAGGAGGUGCUCUGUUCUCCCUGCUGCACUCCGGCAAGAGGAGUUCCUGCCUCACCUGCGUUCAGCGGCAAAGGCCUGUGGGACGCCAGGGAUGUCCACCAGCAAAGCAGCCGUCGUCAACAUCUCCUCCACUCUGGCUUCAAUGCAACGUAUUCAACAAACAUAUGAGUUUAUACCCGCCGUCUCCUACCGCAUCAGCAAGGCUGCUCUGAACAUGCUGACUAUGUGUGCUGUAGAAGAACUGAGGAAGGACGAGAUCCUGUUUUCUCUGCUGCAUCCAGGCUGGGUGCGCACUGAGAUGGGUGGAGAGGAUGGGGAAAUUGAUGUUCAGGAGAGUGUGCUGGGUAUGUGUGACGUGAUGGCCUCCCUGACUGAGAAGCAGAACGGAGCCUUCCUGGACUACAAAGGAAAUCCCAUUCCUUGGUAGCUUUAAAGCACUUCAUAAACUAAUGAAUUAAUCCAAAUGAAAUAAACCAAUACUUG